This 376-nucleotide RNase P RNA is filed under the name Candidatus Eisenbergiella pullistercoris. RNAcentral's name for it is "RNase P RNA component class A". It matches the Rfam family "Bacterial RNase P class A". Rfam says of the family: Ribonuclease P (RNase P) is a ubiquitous endoribonuclease, found in archaea, bacteria and eukarya as well as chloroplasts and mitochondria. Lineage: Bacteria; Bacillati; Bacillota; Clostridia; Lachnospirales; Lachnospiraceae. The record is from RNAcentral.
UGAGCAGGAUGAAUGAUCGCGGCCGUCCGUCCCUCCAUGCGGAGGGCGGCGGGUGAGGAAAGUCCGGGCUUCGCAGGGCAGGAUGCCGGAUAACGUCCGGUGGAGGCGACUCCAAGGCCAGUGCAACAGAAAUGUACCGCCCGCGGUUUCCCGGGAACGGGAUCCCGUGUGGUAAGGGUGGAAAGGCAGAGUAAGAGACUACCGCCCGUCUGGCAACAGGCGGGGCACAUGUAAACCCCAUCCGAAGCAAGACCAGACAGAAAGCGACAGGCUUGCCCGGCCUGCUUUCAGGUAGGUCGCUUGAGGCUGCCGGCAACGGCAGUCCUGGAUAGAUGAUCAUUCACGACAUAACCCGGCUUACAGUCCUGCUCAUUUU